ACCUCUUUUCUCAGGGAAGAAAAAAAUGACGGUACCUGAGGAAUAAGCAUCGGCUAACUCCGUGCCAGCAGCCGCGGUAAUACGGAGGAUGCAAGCGUUAUCCGGAAUGAUUGGGCGUAAAGCGUCCGUAGGUGGUUGAGCAAGUCUGCUGUUAAAGCUCGGGGCUAAACUCCGAAAAGGCGGUGGAAACUGCUCGACUAGAGUGUGGUAGGGGUAGAGGGAAUUCCCGGUGUAGCGGUGAAAUGCGUAGAUAUCGGAAAGAACACCGGUGGCGAAAGCGCUCUACUGGGCCAUAACUGACACUGAGGGACGAAAGCUAGGGGAGCG
RNAcentral lists this ribosomal RNA (327 nucleotides) under uncultured cyanobacterium. RNAcentral describes it as "bacterial SSU rRNA". It matches the Rfam family "Bacterial small subunit ribosomal RNA", at positions 429 to 770 of the family's 1533-position model. Lineage: Bacteria; Bacillati; Cyanobacteriota. The record is from RNAcentral.